AGCACACUAGCAAAAUGGUAUUGCGCCCCCCUCCAUCUGCACAGUCGCGCACUGUUCACAUGAAGGGGGAGGCUCGGGUUCGAUUCCCGAGUGUGCUA
This 98-nucleotide transfer RNA is filed under the name Planctomycetaceae bacterium. RNAcentral describes it as "tRNA-OTHER". It matches the Rfam family "tRNA". From Rfam's summary of the family: Transfer RNA (tRNA) molecules are approximately 80 nucleotides in length. Lineage: Bacteria; Pseudomonadati; Planctomycetota; Planctomycetia; Planctomycetales; Planctomycetaceae. The record is from RNAcentral.